GGUUUAGAUUUUUCCAAGUUUGCUCAGGUAUUCUGUCUUGAAUUAUUACCAUCAUCAACACAGCAGCUUUUAUUGAGUGUUUACUGCAUACCAGGCAUCAGGCAACAUACUUGAACCCAAAACUGCGUGAAGGUCUGUGUUCUUAGCCACCCCUCCCCACUGCCUUUCAACAUGGCUAAUUCCAUCCUUUAUAGGAUGGAAUUUAGGAGUUUUCCUAGGUUAGAUUUUCCAAGUUUUGCUUUUGGAGAGCGUAUCAAACUCUAGGCUCCUGGUCGCUGGUUACAACUGGUUUUUGGAUUUCUGAUGACACUGGCAGUGAUAAGACAAGUAAUGGUUUAGCCACGUGAGGUCUACCAAGUCAAGUGGCAUAAAGAGAAACAUGAAAAAGUACCACGCGGUGGGGAUGUCCAACUCUUGGCAGAGUUCAGUCCAACUGGACUGGGAGGGGUUUUUGACUAUCCUGAGGAUCUGUUUCGAGGAACAAUUCUUGUCCUGAUGCUGAGACAGCUGGAUCUUAGGUACUUAAGAGAAUGUUAAUCAGCAUCUGAUGAAGAACUGACCAGAAGUGAAUUCCACUUCAUAGCUACCAUAAGCACUCCAAAAGGUUUCAACAUGCUUAUAUAUAUAUAAAGUGUUUAUUGUCUGAAAA
Molecule: long non-coding RNA, 649 nt
Organism: Bubalus bubalis (water buffalo)
Lineage: Eukaryota; Metazoa; Chordata; Mammalia; Artiodactyla; Bovidae
Exons: 2
Source: RefSeq, a predicted model, not a curated record